RNAcentral lists this ribosomal RNA (497 nucleotides) under uncultured bacterium. RNAcentral describes it as "partial 16S ribosomal RNA". It matches the Rfam family "Bacterial small subunit ribosomal RNA", at positions 28 to 507 of the family's 1533-position model. The record is from RNAcentral.
GAUGAACGCUGGCGGCGUGCCUAAUACAUGCAAGUCGAGCGAAAAGACGAGGAGCUUGCUGCUCUGACGUGAGCGGCGGGCGGGUGAGUAACACGUGGAUAACCUCCCUAUAAGACGGGGAUAACUUCGGGAAACCGGAGCUAAUACCGGAGAAUAUAUUGCACCACAGGGUGCAAUAGUGAAAGACGGUGGUGGUGUCACGUAUAGAUGGAUACGCGCCGCAUGAGCGGGUUGGUAAGGUAACGGGUUUCCAAGGGAACGAUGCGUAGCCGCGCUGAGAGGGUGAUCGGCCACACUGGAACUGAGACCCGGUCCAGACUCCUACGGGAGGCAGCAGUAGGGAAUCUGCCGCCAUGGGCGAAAGCCUGACGGAGCAACGCCGCGUGAGUGAUGAAGGUCGUCGGAUCGUAAAACUCUGUUAUUAGGGAAGAACCAAUGUGUACGUAACUCUGCACGUCUUGACGGUACCUAAGCAGAAAGCCACGGCUAACUUCGUU